AGAGUUUGAUCAUGGCUCAGAUUGAACGCUGGCGGCAGGCCUAACACAUGCAAGUCGAGCGGAAACGAGUUAUCUGAACCUUCGGGGGACGAUAACGGCGUCGAGCGGCGGACGGGCGAGUAAUACCUAGGAAAUUGCCCUGAUGUGGGGGAUAACCAUUGGAAACGAUGGCUAAUACCGCAUGAUGCCUACGGGCCAAAGAGGGGGACCUUCGGGCCUCUCGCGUCAGGAUAUGCCUAGGUGGGAUUAGCUAGUUGGUGAGGUAAGGGCUCACCAAGGCGACGAUCCCUAGCUGGUCUGAGAGGAUGAUCAGCCACACUGGAACUGAGACACGGUCCAGACUCCUACGGGAGGCAGCAGUGGGGAAUAUUGCACAAUGGGCGCAAGCCUGAUGCAGCCAUGCCGCGUGUGUGAAGAAGGCCUUCGGGUUGUAAAGCACUUUCAGUCGUGAGGAAGGCGGGUACGUUAAUAGCGUAUUCGUUUGACGUUAGCGACAGAAGAAGCACCGGCUAACUCCGUGCCAGCAGCCGCGGUAAUACGGAGGGUGCGAGCGUUAAUCGGAAUUACUGGGCGUAAAGCGCAUGCAGGUGGUUUGUUAAGUCAGAUGUGAAAGCCCGGGGCUCAACCUCGGAAUAGCAUUUGAAACUGGCAGACUAGAGUACUGUAGAGGGGGGUAGAAU
Molecule: ribosomal RNA, 680 nt
Filed under: uncultured bacterium
Lineage: Bacteria
Description: bacterial SSU rRNA
Rfam family: Bacterial small subunit ribosomal RNA
Source: RNAcentral